AUGGCACCGCUGAGAGGCUGGCACUGCAGGCCAGGCCUCAACGCGCCAGUGAGUGAACUCAGAGAAGUUUGGAGGCUUGUCCCUAACCACGUGCCAGCUCUUUGGUGCCCCCGAGGCAGAACCACGUCAGGAGCGCAGCCAGUCAUCCCUCAGACCGCCGCCAUGGUUGAGACUAGCAUAAGGAUGCACAUGUGUUCAGCAGAAGCCUUACAAUGGACAGUCGGAUGCAUCAGAAUGGAGAUAUCCUCUCAGAGGCCUGUAGGGCACUGGCCUGACAUACCUGAUACAUGACUGACCUCCAGGAAACUGGUGCAGGGAUGGUGCCUUCCUCCCUAAAAUGUGGUGUCACACCUGCAGGAGAGCUCUCUCCUGCAUUAGAGUACCAC
RNAcentral lists this long non-coding RNA (386 nucleotides) under Anser brachyrhynchus (Pink-footed goose). RNAcentral describes it as "lncRNA (ENSABRG00000006099.1)". Lineage: Eukaryota; Metazoa; Chordata; Aves; Anseriformes; Anatidae. The record is from RNAcentral.